This 492-nucleotide ribosomal RNA is filed under the name uncultured bacterium. Its description in RNAcentral is "partial 16S ribosomal RNA". It matches the Rfam family "Bacterial small subunit ribosomal RNA", at positions 29 to 507 of the family's 1533-position model. The record is from RNAcentral.
AGUGAACGCUGGCGGUAGGCCUAACACAUGCAAGUCGAACGGCAGCACAGUAAGAGCUUGCUCUUACGGGUGGCGAGUGGCGGACGGGUGAGGAAUACAUCGGAAUCUACUUUUUCGUGGGGGAUAACGUAGGGAAACUUACGCUAAUACCGCAUACGACCUACGGGUGAAAGCAGGGGAUCUUCGGACCUUGCGCGAUUGAAUGAGCCGAUGUCGGAUUAGCUAGUUGGCGGGGUAAAGGCCCACCAAGGCGACGAUCCGUAGCUGGUCUGAGAGGAUGAUCAGCCACACUGGAACUGAGACACGGUCCAGACUCCUACGGGAGGCAGCAGUGGGGAACAUUGGACAAUGGGGGCAAGCCUGAUCCAGCCAUACCGCGUGGGUGAAGAAGGACUUCGGGUUGUAAAGCCAUUUUGUUGGGAGAGAAAAGCAGCAGGUUAAUACCCCGCUGUUCUGACGGUACCCAAAGAAUAAGCACCGGCUAACUUCGUG